This is a non-coding RNA of Microcebus murinus (gray mouse lemur), 1115 nucleotides long. NCBI's taxonomy places the organism in Eukaryota, Metazoa, Chordata, Mammalia, Primates, Cheirogaleidae. The record is from RefSeq and is a predicted model, not a curated record.
UCUUAGCGGGCAUUCAAACACCAGUUCCCUUUGCUGUUCCUUCUGUGCCUUUGCCCGUAAUCUCUCCCCACCUCUAGCAUUCAGGCUAUUCAUCUAACCAGAGACCAGGUGCUAUAAGGAGACAGCCCAAAUGAAGCCAGGUGUUAAUGAAUGAGGAUCAUCAUUCGCCUUGCUCCUGGGUUACGGCUGUAACCCUUUCCUUUUUCUUUAUUUAUGGGGAGCUGGGCUGCAAGCGGUCUAACCUCGCUGGCUCGGAGGACUCCGAAGAACGGGUAGAGGAAGGCAGGCACCAGGGCUGCAGCUCCAAGAGGCACCGCCUCAGACACCCAGUAGACAGCAGUCACGAUCAACACGCGGAGUUGGAUGCUUUAACUUGGACCGGGACAUAAUAUAUUGACGUCAAGCUGAUCGAUACUAAACGUUCCUGGGUGGCUGAAGGAGCGCAGAGAAGAAAACACAGAGGACACAAGGAAUUCAAGGCCACACACAUGGGAACAUGACGGACUCUGCUUUCAACUUACAGGUUCCUUCCCUAAAGUUCACAGGGCACUUAAGGGACUAAAAGUGGUCACCAGACUCCUCCAAGACCCACCACAGGCUCCACGUUCCCUGUCUGCCCCAGCCUGGCCCUCCGCGUCAUUCCUGGGGGCUCUUCCUGGGUCUCCAUGUGGCUCUCAGAUAAAGACGGUCACAUGUUGGCUCCUGACAAAUACAGGCGCACCAGCCUGUCCCCAUGGGCCCUUCCGCUGGCCCCUGCCCCGUGCGGUGGCCAGCAGUCCCGGCAGCCACAGCCCCUUCCCUGGGGGCCGUGGGGUUGGGGAACUGGGGCUGUGGUGGAGGGGUGAAAAUGGCAGCUUUUAGGAAGAAGGUAUGUCCGUUUCCUCCAGAAAAACACUUCCAUGUGUUCCAACCCACAAAAAAGCCAGCUUUAGGGACGGUAGGAGCCUCCCGUGCCCUCCCCGUCUCGCCCUCCCGCCUGGUCCCCGGCCCGCAGGUGCGCGUGGGGGACAGGUGGGUACUCACGCUGCUGGGGUGCAGGACGGGCAGAGGCAGCAGCAGGAGCGGGACGCAGACGACCAGCAGCAGCUUCCGGGCGCGGAACAGGCCGUGCAGCA